AGUGAACGCUGGCGGUAGGCCUAACACAUGCAAGUCGAACGGCAGCACAGUAAGAGCUUGCUCUUACGGGUGGCGAGUGGCGGACGGGUGAGGAAUACAUCGGAAUCUACUUUUUCGUGGGGGAUAACGUAGGGAAACUUACGCUAAUACCGCAUACGACCUACGGGUGAAAGCAGGGGAUCUUCGGACCUUGCGCGAUUGAAUGAGCCGAUGUCGGAUUAGCUAGUUGGCGGGGUAAAGGCCCACCAAGGCGACGAUCCGUAGCUGGUCUGAGAGGAUGGUCAGCCACACUGGAACUGAGACACGGUCCAGACUCCUACGGGAGGCCGCAGUGGGGAAUAUUGGACAAUGGGCGCAAGCCUGAUCCAGCCAUACCGCGUGGGUGACGAAGGCCUUCGGGUUGUAAAGCCCUUUUGUUGGGAAAGAAAAGCAGCAGGUUAAUACCCCGCUGUUCUGACGGUACCCAAAGAAUAAGCACCGGCUAACUUCGUG
Molecule: ribosomal RNA, 492 nt
Filed under: uncultured bacterium
Lineage: Bacteria
Description: partial 16S ribosomal RNA
Rfam family: Bacterial small subunit ribosomal RNA
Source: RNAcentral